AACUUUAGGCAGUGUCAAUAUUGUAGCCAGUGAAGUUUAUCCAAGAUGCAAUGAUUGCUAAAUGAAAGCUCAAGGGUCAGUUUUCCAAAGUAUCUCACAAAUAUUUUAAUAGAAUUUUAGAUGCUGUAAGUUAAAA
This is a non-coding RNA of Myodes glareolus (Bank vole), 136 nucleotides long. NCBI's taxonomy places the organism in Eukaryota, Metazoa, Chordata, Mammalia, Rodentia, Cricetidae. The record is from RefSeq and is a predicted model, not a curated record.